AAAACUUUUUCAAAAGAAAAAUCUGUUCUUAUCAGUUUAAUAUCUGAUACGUCCCCCAUCGGGGGACUACAUAUUAAAUGGAUUUUUCGAACAGGGAGUCGGAAAUGGGGCUUGCUCCGUCCGCUCCACGCAUCGACCCGGUAUUGCAGUACCUCCGGGAACGGUGCACCACUU
RNAcentral lists this small nuclear RNA (174 nucleotides) under Hucho hucho (huchen). RNAcentral's name for it is "U2 spliceosomal RNA (ENSHHUG00000001640.1)". It matches the Rfam family "U2 spliceosomal RNA". From Rfam's summary of the family: U2 is a small nuclear RNA (snRNA) component of the spliceosome (involved in pre-mRNA splicing). Complementary binding between U2 snRNA (in an area lying towards the 5' end but 3' to hairpin I) and the branchpoint sequence (BPS) of the intron results the bulging out of an unpaired adenosine, on the BPS, which initiates a nucleophilic attack at the intronic 5' splice site, thus starting the first of two transesterification reactions that mediate splicing. Lineage: Eukaryota; Metazoa; Chordata; Actinopteri; Salmoniformes; Salmonidae. The record is from Rfam by way of RNAcentral.